AGGCGGUUGAGGGAGGGUGAGGAGGAUGAGAGGAUUGCGGAGGGGAGGACGGCGUCGGCGACGGCGAGGAAGAUCGGAGCAGAAAAGAUGAUGAAAGAGAG
Arabidopsis thaliana (thale cress) is the source of this 101-nucleotide small nuclear RNA. The record is from RefSeq. Lineage: Eukaryota; Viridiplantae; Streptophyta; Magnoliopsida; Brassicales; Brassicaceae.